AGCACAGAAAGGUUAAGGCAUUUUCUUAACGUAACGUGGCCAAGAAGUGGUGGCCUUCUGGCCUUCUAAUCUGCAGUUAAACAAUAUGCUCUCCAUAUUAAGUUACCUUCGUUUCUCUGAGGAGCUCUUCACACCACCAUUCUGGAAGUCAACUCAAAGAGCAAUCCAUUUUUUGUUGCAAAAUUAUGCUUUUAAGCACUGAGGAUGGCCCCCAAACGCCAGUCUUCACUCCCAUCUCAAACGAAGAAACCAAGACUGCCUCCUGCCCCCAAGCCGGAGAAGACGUCGACCUCUCUGGACGUGCCCAAGAGAAAAAGAACAGCAAGAAGCAAUUGAACAUAUUGAUGAAGUACAAAAUGAAAUAGACAGACUUAAUGAACAAGCCAGUGAGGAGAUUUUGAAA
Molecule: long non-coding RNA, 403 nt
Organism: Hipposideros armiger (great roundleaf bat)
Lineage: Eukaryota; Metazoa; Chordata; Mammalia; Chiroptera; Hipposideridae
Exons: 3
Source: RefSeq, a predicted model, not a curated record